CGCUAACCGCAAGGAGGCAGCUAACCACGGUAGGGUCAGCGACUGGGGUGAAGUCGUAACAAGGUAGCCGUAGGGGAACCUGCGGCUGGAUCACCUCCUUUCUAAGG
This 107-nucleotide ribosomal RNA is filed under the name Rhizobium laguerreae. RNAcentral's name for it is "partial 16S ribosomal RNA". It matches the Rfam family "Bacterial small subunit ribosomal RNA", at positions 1433 to 1533 of the family's 1533-position model. Lineage: Bacteria; Pseudomonadati; Pseudomonadota; Alphaproteobacteria; Hyphomicrobiales; Rhizobiaceae. The record is from RNAcentral.